CUAUGGACCAAUAGUGAAGUAGGUAAGUAAACACAGGCAUAAAUAUGGGCCCAUAGUGAAGUAGGGAAGUAAACACAGGUAUUAAUAUGGGCCAAUAGUGAAGUAGGGAAAUAAACACGGGUAUUAAUAUGGGCCAAUAGUGAAGCAGGGAAGUAAACAAGGGUAUUAAUAUGGGCCAAUAGUGAAGUAGGGAAGUAAACACAGGCAUAAAUAUGGGCCCAUAGUGAAGUAGGGAAGUAAACACGGGAAUUAAUAUGGGCCAAUAGUGAAGUAGGAAAGUAAACACAGGUUCAAAUAUGGGCCAAUAGUGAAGUAGGGAAGUAAACACAGGCAUAAAUAUGGGCCAAUAGUUAAGUAGGGAAGUAAACACGGGAAUUAAUAUGGGCCAAUAGUGAAGUAGGAAAGUAAACACAGGUAUUACUAUGGGCCAAUAGUGAAGUAGGGAAGUAAACACAGGCAAAAAUAAGGGCCAAUAGAGAAGUAGGGAAGUAAACACAGAUGCAAAUAUGGGCCAAUAGUGAAGUAGGGAAGUAAACUCGGGUAUUUUAAUAUGGGUCAAUAGUGAAGUAGGGAAGUAAACACAGGCAUAAAUAUGGGCCAAUGGUGAAGUAAGGAAGUAAACACAGGCACAAAUAUGGGCCAAUAGUGAAGUAAGGAAGUAAGCACGGGUAUUAAUAUGGGCCAAUAGUGAAGUAGGGAAGUAAACACAGGCAAAAAUAUGGGCCAAUAGAGAAGUAGGGAAGUAAACACAGGUGCAAAUAUGGGCCAAUAGUGAAGUAGGGAAGUAAACUAGGGUAUUUUAAUAUGGGUCAAUAGUGAAGUAGGGAAUUAAACACAGGCAUAAAUAUGGGCCAAUAGUGAAGUAAGGAAGUAAACACGGGUAUUAAUAUGGGCCCAUAGUGAAGUAAGGAAGUAAGCACGGGUAUUAAUAAGGGCCCAUAGUAAAGUAGGGAAGUAAACACGGGAAUUAAUAUGGGCCAAUAGUGAAGAAGGGAGGUAAACACAGGCAUAAAUAUGGGCGAAUAGUGAAGUAGGGAAGUAAACACGGGUAUUAAUAUGGGCCAAUAGUGAAGUAGGAAAGUAAACACGGUUAUUAAUAUGGGCCAAUAGUGAAGUAAGGAAGUAAACACUGGUAUUAAAAUGGGUCAAUAGUGAAGUAGGGAAGUAAACACGGGUAUUAAUAUGGGCCAAUAGUGAAGUAAGGAAGUAAACACUGGUAUUAAUAUGGGUCAAUAGUGAAGAAGGGAAGUAAACACUGGUAUUAAUAUGGGUCAAUAGUGAAGUAGGGAAGUAAACACGGGUAUUAAUAUGGGCCAAUAGUGAAGUAAGGGAGUAAACACGGGUAUUAAUAUUGGCCAAUAGUGAAGUAAGGAAGUAAACACGGGUAUUAAUAUGGGCCAAUAGUGAAGUAAGAGAUUACGAGCAGGAAUAUACAUGGGGAGUAUGCUGGGUAAAUGUGGACGAACAGUCAUGUUGGCGUGGGUAAUGGGAGUGGAAAAUAUGAAUAAACAUGGUACUCAGCAUAUCCAUAUGUCAGUCGCAUUUUGUUUACUCUGCACUAAUAAGACAUUUAAUGACCAACUGUCAACAUUUAUGAAAGCACCAUAGACCAUAUCUCCUCAUCGGCGUGAUGAAGGCACAAGCAAAUCAUCUAACGUAUUUGUCUUUAAUAAAAUUGCCUUAAUGUUCUUCAUCAUUUACCUUACAAAAUAUAAUUAAAUAUAAGGAACUCAAAACUAAUGUUGAGAUGAUGUAUGGCGACAUUAACCUGCAUCACACAGACGGUCCGUGAAUAAAUGAUCACGUCACAUACGAAGCCGAUGAACAGAUAAACUGACAGACUGCUUGUAAACAUUUAGCAAUUGUUACUCCAAAUACGCAGUUGUAUCUGGGCGUCCUUGAGAACUAAAAAGAGCGGGAGGGAAAUAUUGAAUAUAUGUUAUGUAAAGGAGAUAUGACCUCAACAGAAAACUCUUUAAAAGGUCACACCUCAUAUGGGUCCCAGAUGAGUACACGUUGAUACUCGUAUACCUCGUUUUACAGGUGUGUCGUUAUAGAUGGUGCUAGAAAGAAAUAAAGAUACUGUUCCCAUUUGGCGGUACAUUGUAUGACGGUAGACAUGCUAUUCCCCUAUUGCAGUACAAUGUGUAUCGCUACAGAUACUAUUCCCCUAUUGCAGUACAAUGUGUAUCGCUACAGAUACUAUUCCUCUCCCGAUGCAAUAGUAUAGAGAUUGUGACUUCUGAAAAUACAUCUGCGCUCUUUUACCUUUUCGUGACAAUUCAGUUAGCAACACAUGACUGUUUCCAACCAGUAUUGAUAUUUACUCGGCGUCGUUAAUGAAGGGUCAAGCUAUUGGUAACGCUAUUUCUUAAAAGUUGUGAAAAUCUUCGUUUUUGUUUGAA
RNAcentral lists this long non-coding RNA (2405 nucleotides) under Haliotis rubra (blacklip abalone). RNAcentral's name for it is "uncharacterized LOC124256432, transcript variant X1". Lineage: Eukaryota; Metazoa; Mollusca; Gastropoda; Lepetellida; Haliotidae. The record is from RNAcentral.